Molecule: ribosomal RNA, 524 nt
Filed under: uncultured bacterium
Lineage: Bacteria
Description: partial 16S ribosomal RNA
Rfam family: Bacterial small subunit ribosomal RNA
Source: RNAcentral
GACGAACGCUAGCGACGUGCCUAAUACAUGCAAGUCGAACGAAGCUGUUUUAACUGGUGCUUGCACCGACUUAAACAACUGAGUGGCGAACGGGUGAGUAACACGUGGGUAACCUGCCCCAAAGCGGGGGAUAACAUUUGGAAACAGAUGCUAAUACCGCAUAACCACAGAAACCACAUGGUUUCUGUGUCAAAGAUGGUUUCGGCUAUCACUUUGGGAUGGACCCGCGGCGUAUUAGCUAGUUGGUAAGGUAAUGGCUUACCAAGGCAAUGAUACGUAGCCGAAUUGAGAGGUUGAUCGGCCACAUUGGGACUGAGACACGGCCCAAACUCCUACGGGAGGCAGCAGUAGGGAAUCUUCCACAAUGGACGAAAGUCUGAUGGAGCAACGCCGCGCGAGUGAAGAAGGUUUUCGGAUAGUAAAACUCUGUUGUCAGAGAAGAACGUGUGCGAGAGUAACUGCUCGUGCAGUGACGGUAUCUGGCCAGAAAGCCACGGCUAACUACGUGCCAGCCGCCGCCGUAA